GCCUGGGUGGCUAAGUCGGUUAAGCAUCUGACUUAAUUUCGUAUUAGGUCAUGAUCUCACAGUUUGUGGGUUUGAACCCCACAUCAGGCU
RNAcentral lists this transfer RNA (90 nucleotides) under Felis catus (domestic cat). It matches the Rfam family "tRNA". Rfam says of the family: Transfer RNA (tRNA) molecules are approximately 80 nucleotides in length. Lineage: Eukaryota; Metazoa; Chordata; Mammalia; Carnivora; Felidae. The record is from Rfam by way of RNAcentral.